RNAcentral lists this ribosomal RNA (483 nucleotides) under uncultured bacterium. RNAcentral describes it as "partial 16S ribosomal RNA". It matches the Rfam family "Bacterial small subunit ribosomal RNA", at positions 29 to 506 of the family's 1533-position model. The record is from RNAcentral.
AUGAACGCUGGCGGCGUGCUUCACCCAUGCAAGUCGAACGGGAUCCAAGGGGUGCUUGCACUUUUUGGUGAGAGUGGCGAACGGGUGAGUAACACGUGAGUAACCUGUCCUUUUCUUUGGGAUAAGCAUUCGAAAGGGUGUUUAAUACCUUAUGUUCUGUCUGCCUCGCAUGGGGUGGGUGGGAAAGGCUUUGGCCGGAUUUGGGUGGGCUCGCGGUCUAUCAGCUUGUUGGUGGGGUGAUGGCUUACCAAGGCUUUGACGGGUAGCCGGCCUGAGAGGGUGGUCGGUCACAUUGGGACUGAGAUACGGCCCAGACUCCUGCGGGAGGCAGCAGUGGGGGAUAUUGCACAAUGGGCGAAAGCCUGAUGCAGCGACGCCGCGUGGGGGAUGAAGGCCUUCGGGUUGUAAACUUCUUUUGCUCUGAACAAGGCAUGCCAGUGGGUGUGUUGAGUGUAGGGGUUGAUUAGCGCCGGCUAACUACGU